AUACUUACCUGGCAAGGGAGACACCGUGAUCACCAAGGCGGUUCACCCAGGGCGAGGCUCGGCCAUUGCACUCCGGCUGUGCUGACCCCUGCGAAUUUCCCAAAUGUGGAAAUCUCGAUUGCAUAAUUUCUGGUAGUGGGGGACUGCGUUCGCGCUCUCCCCUC
This is a small nuclear RNA of Esox lucius (northern pike), 164 nucleotides long. Its record names the gene U1. It matches the Rfam family "U1 spliceosomal RNA". From Rfam's summary of the family: U1 is a small nuclear RNA (snRNA) component of the spliceosome (involved in pre-mRNA splicing). Its 5' end forms complementary base pairs with the 5' splice junction, thus defining the 5' donor site of an intron. The record is from Ensembl. Lineage: Eukaryota; Metazoa; Chordata; Actinopteri; Esociformes; Esocidae.